CUCAAGACGAGAAAAGCGAAGUGGCUUCACUCAGCGUCUGUCCUCCGACAUAAGCAGUACUAAAUAAUGUAGUCUGAUCAGAACUUGGUGUUAACCAUGGCUUCCAUGCCAGCUUUAGGAUUUUUAGUGUUUGGCUCUGGAACCUUUUGUUCCAGCAGCAUUUUUAGUCUUUUGCCUCUGUAGUUGAUUUAAUUAAGAAGAGAGAGAGAGAGUAUCAAAUUGUCACCUCACAAUGGAGAUUUUUCUCCUAUAACCGCUACUAAAGCGGUGUAAGUACGGGAACAUCAAGUAUGGGAUCAACGUACGAAUCUAUCAUUUCAUGGGUUCAUGAACGUGUGUCUUUAAGCCGCUGAGACGCCUCUGAAUCGAUGGCCGUCCUAGCUUGGGGUAUGCUGUCUCCUGUCCAUCUGGACGUGUAGAGCUCGAUCACCGAGCCUAGAUUCAAUUUGAAGAAACAGCUAUGAGGUAACAACUUUUUUCCAAAUUAAACGAACGUCCCAGGAACUCCGGAUGUGACAAAAUGGGUUUUAGUGACGACAGACUUUCAAUCAAGUAAAACGUGCGGAAUUAGACUUUUGUUAAAUCAUAAUUUUGAGAUAUUAUUGGGGAUAGAUAGAUUAUUAAUUUCAUUAAUUUGGUUUGAAUAAUAGAUUUUCGGUUGUAUCUUUACAUUGAAAAGUGAGGCCAUAUUUUCUCUGUAAGGAUCCAGCUGGGAAUUUCAGUUUUCUUUAAAUUUAUAAAUAAUUAUAAUCUUCUAAAGUACUAAAAGUUGAAUGAGUACAUGAAUUUUUAAAGGUCCCUUAUUGAUUAAAUUAAUGUUUUAAAAUAAUUCUCAUCUUAAAGUUGUAAAGGAUCAAAUGAAGUUUCAAGGACCCUAACCUUUCCUAAAUUGUUUUGAUGACAUAUAUUUUUGAAUAGUUUUUUUUAAGGUAGUAUACCAUGAUAUGAUACUUGAGGAAUGUUUGUCCUUGCAGCGUUCAUGAUAUAAAGAUACUGAAUAGUUAUUAUUGGGGGGAUCAUUAAUAUUUGAUAAUGUUUUGAUAGUGUUUUAAAGUUUCCAAGUGUGUUCAAAAUUUAAUGUUCUAAGAAUUUUAUGAAUUUUAUGUGGAUCUUUUCUUAAAAUAUUUAUUGUUAUUUAUGAUUAACUUCUGAGACAUAUCUAUGAUAAUUUUCAAUAAUUGCUCUUUUGAAAUUAGAGUCCUUCAAGCUUUUAUGAUUCAAUCUAAAACGUUUUCAAAUGUAGAGCAUACGGAGUAGGUUAUUACCGUAUUACCUAUUUCAGAGAUAACCUAACUUUAGUAAUUUUGUUUUCGAUUUUCAUAAUGUAACUUCCUUUUGUUUUAUUAAUUGUUGAAUUUAACUGUAAGAGGUGAUAAUAUAAUUGAUACCUUCUCUCUA
RNAcentral lists this long non-coding RNA (1398 nucleotides) under Nilaparvata lugens (brown planthopper). RNAcentral describes it as "uncharacterized LOC120350777". Lineage: Eukaryota; Metazoa; Arthropoda; Insecta; Hemiptera; Delphacidae. The record is from RNAcentral.